CUUUCCCCGCUGAUCUAGUAUCAUGCGCUGCAAAUGGACGAAACAGAAUACUUUACUGAAGCUAUGAGAUUUAUAUUUAAAUCGAUAGAGGAGCGUUCUAUAUUUAGGAAGCAAAAAUGGAAAUUUUUGUGGAGAUAAUACAAGUGAGAAUGUCAGCUUAAGUAGCAUAAAUAUUAGUAAAAUCUGAUACUCCCAAAGCUAAAAGGUCUCCUACGAAAGGAUAUACCACGUCGGGAAAGUCGGGGCCUCAGGUUAGAUUUAAUAUCUACCUGACGGGUCCAAGGUUCACAUCCCUAUACCACUUAUAUAAAUCUCAACCAAUAGUGACCCAUCCUCUGUCACUAUCUGUCUUAGCCAUACUAGUUACCUAGUCUGCUCAAACAAUUUUGCUGGGACAACUGUCUCCGUUAUAACCUACCCCCUGCCCGUACCCCAACUGACACAAGUAUGCCAGUUUUCAUCUACUNAGCGAGGAGCACGAAAAAACUUUCUCUAAGGAACUCGGCCAAAUAAUCCUGUAACUUCGGGGAAAAGGAUGCCCAAAGGGGUGCAAUUAAAAGAUCCAAGCGACUGUUUAUCAAAAACACAGGUUUCCGCUAAGUUUAAUCACAAUAUAAGGGGGCUGACACCUGCCCAGUGCUGGCAAGUUAAAAAAAAUGCUUUUAAUAUAGGUAUUUUUAUAAGCUCCAGUAAACGGCGGCUGUAACUAUAACGGUCCAAAGGUAGCGAAAUUCCUUGUCGGGUAAGUUCCGACCUGCACGAAAGGUGUAACGACUUGGAUGCUGUCUUUGAGAAAGAUUCGGUGAAAUAGAAAUGUCUGUGAAGAUACGGACUAUCUACACCGGACAGAAAGACCCUAUGAAGCUUUACUAUAUUUUGAAAUUAAAACUGAGAUAUAUUUGUGUAGAAUAAGAGGGAAACUAAUUAGUUUAUCUUGAAACACCAGUGUGAUAUAUAUCAUUUUUGUAACAUCAUGUUGAUAACCAAUUAUAAGAAAAUUUUGACAAAGUAUUUUCACUGGUGCCGUAGCCUCUCUAAAGAGUAACGGAGGUUCACCCAGGUCUUUUUUUAAUUUAAAAAUUUCUUUUAAAUUAAAACUAUAAAGGGAGGAAAAGGCUUGAUUGCAAGAGUUACUACUCGAGCAAGGACGAAAGUCGGUCUUAAUGAUCCCGACAUUGCUUUGGGAAAGCUGUA
RNAcentral lists this ribosomal RNA (1194 nucleotides) under Eimeria chobotari. Its description in RNAcentral is "bacterial LSU rRNA". It matches the Rfam family "Bacterial large subunit ribosomal RNA", at positions 1136 to 2446 of the family's 2925-position model. The record is from RNAcentral. Lineage: Eukaryota; Apicomplexa; Conoidasida; Eucoccidiorida; Eimeriidae.